Molecule: long non-coding RNA, 2268 nt
Organism: Scylla paramamosain (green mud crab)
Lineage: Eukaryota; Metazoa; Arthropoda; Malacostraca; Decapoda; Portunidae
Exons: 2
Source: RefSeq, a predicted model, not a curated record
CUGAGUCAUUCUCGUGUUGCAGGAUGGACAGGUGUAAUGGUGUGUUGUUAUUGUUGUUGUUGUCGGUGGUGGUGGUGGUGGUGCAGCACAGGGGAGGGUUCCAGAAAGCUGCUCCAUAACCAAGGAAUUCCUGCCUCUGUAAAGUUCUCUGAUCUUACCUACUGCUAUUUGUACUCUACGACAUACUCCCACAAGUCAACAGUUAUCUAAUUAUCACUGUGGGAUGAACGUUCACAUUAGAAUGAGCAGCAGGUUUUCUUAUUGAACUUUUGGUGCUGCAUGAACACAGGAAGGGAAAUGAUGUGUUCAAAUAUAUCUUGUUUACCGUUGGGGUUUCAUGGCGUAGUGACAGUCUUGGGAACCCAGUGUGUGUGGGAUGCCAGCGGUCAUAUCCCAUACAAAAUACAAUAAAUAAAUAACGUCAUGAAAAUAAUUCACAUCAUAAUUCUUUAAUACGUACUGGCGUGAACAUAAGGUGGUUAAAUAGAGCAACUUUACAAAAAAGAUGGGGAAGAUGGGGAAAUAGACCAACUUUAAAAAAAAGAAAAAGGGCCCUCGUGGCCCAGUGGGUAGAGUGAUGCACUUUGAGUUUGGCGUGAGGGAAGUGAGGGGCGCGUAGGUUCGAACCCCCCUCUCGGAACUCACAAAAACCUUGAAAGAGCAUCCCUCCAUCACCAUGUGUGAUGGAACUGCCCACGGGGAGGAGGGGAGGUGAGUGCGCAGCACCUCCCUACCCCUCCCCAGGGGAGGAAGGCACCGCCUUACCGGCCCCCGGGAGAGCAAGGGAGGUGAGUGCACAGCGCUUCCCUUCUCUCCCCUAGCUAACCCUGGCAAGUCUACGGACUACCAGGCAAAAAAUAAUAAAAAAAAAAAAUAAAUAAAUAAAUAAAUAAAAUAAAUAAGGGUAAGUGCAUAGCACUUCUCUUCUCUUCACCUAACAGAAUAAAAAAUAUAAAGGUGAGUGCAUAGCACUUCCCUUCUCUUCCAACCUACCAGGCAAAAGAUAGAAAAAAAAAUAAAUAAAGAAUUAAGGUGAGUGCAUAGCACUUCCCUUGUCUCCUAACCUACCACGCAAAAAAAAAAAAAAAUAAAUAAAAAAUAAAAUAAAAUAAAUAAAUAAAUAAAGAUAAAUAAAUAAAAAUAAAUAAAAAACCUCCUUACCACCUCGGACCUCGGGAGAGCAAGGGAGGUGAGUGCACAGCACUUCCCUUCUCUCCCCAAGUCUACGGACUGCCAGACCAAAAAGAAUAAAAUAUAUAUAGGUAUAAAAAAUAAAAGUAAUAAAAAAAAAAGAUAAAUGAAAAAAUAAGUAAAUAAAACAAAAACAAUAAAACUCCUACUCCCCCCUCAAUAAAACUGACUGAGUCUGGCAAUCAACAAUAAAUAAUAAAAAUAAAACAAUACCAACUGACUGACCCUGACAACCCCAAAGACCACCACCCACCUGGGAAGCACGGGAGGUGAGUGUGCAGCACCUCCCUACCCUUCCCAGUCUCCCAGUUUGACUUUGACCACCAAUCUGAUUCAUCCUACCAACUCCAAAGAGCAACUCCAACUGUACAGACCACCACCACCACCACCCUUCUGAUCUCGGCAAGGUGAGUGCGUAGCACUUCCCUGGACUGACCCUGACUGACUGACCCUGGCAACUCCAAAAACAACCAACCUGACUGACUUACAGAUAUGUAAUCACCUAACUGACUGGCCCUGGGGAGCAUGGGAGGUGAGUGUGCAGCACCUCCCUACACUUCCCAGUCUCCCAGUUUGACCUGACUCAUCCUGGCAACUUCAAAGAACAACUCCAAAUGUACAGACCAACAGUAUUUCCUACUCUGUGUCCCACUCUGACCCUGAUCCAUACAUCCCUACAUCCUACCCUGUCCUGGCUAGGUGAGUGCGUAGCACUUCCCUACCACCUGCCUUACUGACCCUGGCAACCAUAAAAACAACCAACCUGACUGACCUACAAAUCUUACUGUAAUCUGGCAACAGACCACCAAACUGACUGACUCUGGGGAGCAUGGGAGGUGAGUGUGCAGCACCUCCCUACCCUUCCCAGUCUCCCAGUUUGGCUUUGACCACCAAUGUGACUCAUCCUACCAACUCCAAAUGUACAGACCACCACCACCACCCCUCUGAUCUUGGCAAGGUGAGUGCGUAGCACUUCCCUUGACUGAGUGGGCCUGACUGACUGACCCCGGCAACUCCAAAAACAACCAAUCUGACAAAUGUUACAAAUGUAACCUGGGGAGCAUAGGAGGUGAGUGU